RNAcentral lists this unclassified non-coding RNA (200 nucleotides) under soil metagenome. RNAcentral describes it as "partial contains internal transcribed spacer 2 and large subunit ribosomal RNA". The record is from RNAcentral.
CGUCAUUAAACCCAAUCGGCCCCGCCUUAGUCGGUGCCGGUCUUGGGCGUCGGGGGACCCGCGCCUCAAUUUCACCGGCUGGACGACCCGAAUCUCAGCGUUGUGGCUUCACAUCUCGCUGAUUGAGACCGGUCGGCCACGCCGUUAAAGCCUUUUCACAGGUUGACCUCGGAUCGGGUAGGAAUACCCGCUGAACUUAA